UUAAAGCAUUUAUAUACAGAUAAACACUAAACUUUCUUAUAUUUUAAUAUCAAUUUAAAAAGUAUGGCAUUUAAAAAAAUGUAAGUUUAUUGUAAGAAAGUAUCAGUCAUAGAGAGAAAGAGAAAAAAAACCAACCCACGUAUCUAUGAUAGCAGUAUAUUUUCCUGUAGGGUUUGAGACUGAAAUCUCAUUCUUCAUUUAAACCACAAGACCAUGUAUCAGUAUGGAAUUUGAACAGAUUUUCUGGAAUAACAGGUAAAGCCAAAAGAGAAGGUAUUUUUAACACACAAGUUAGAAAACACACACUCCUAUCAGAGCCCACACUUAGAAAAAGGGGUACUGCACAUUUUUACGUUCUUUAAAGGCAGCUCUGUUUCUGAAAUUGCCACUCAGAGGGUUUCCAAUUCUCAAAGAGGGCGAGAGGGAAGAAAAGAAAAGAAAAAGGUAUUUGGAGACCGUCAACUCUAGCUGAAGCGUCACGCGUGUCAUCAGAGUUUGUUAUUCACGCUUAAGCGAGAGGAAGAGCAAACUUCACACAGUGUAAAGCAGCGAGGCACCCGGCACUUGAGAUUAGAGCAGCCCUGCCGCCAUCAAGCCCGCAGGAAACGUCACCGCAGUCACCUUUACCCAUCCUCGCCUCAAUUUAAAACGAAAUACAAAGUCUUUGCCCCCCAUUCCCCUCCACCGCUUAUCCUACCUUCCACCGAGCGCCCGAUGCUAUACAAGUGAGUGAUGGAGGGGUAGGCGGCGUGAACCCUCUUCAGGUAUGCUUCCAGCUCCUCGGAGUGGUGGUACUUGAAAUCCAGAGCUGCCGCCGCAGAAAACAGGCAGAGGAUGCCCACCACGUUCUAAAAAGAAGCAGAUGAAUCACACAGCCGAAGGUACAGGCGGGCUUGCCGCGGCGGCCACAGAGCCGAGGCAUCGACAAGCCCGUGGAGGGACCUUCCCCACCUCAGCCCGUCUCCCCUCACAGGGACCUUCCCCACCUCAGCCCGUCUCCCCUCACAGGGACCUUCCCCGCCUCAGCCCACCUCCCCACAGGGGAGCAGGUGCCUUCUCCUUCCACCCACGACCGCCGCUCCUACCCCGCUAGCCGCCCGCAUGGUGCCACCACUUUUCCACGACUGGAGCCCUAACGCCGGGCGGGGGCCACCAUCCCCCGCCGCCGGCCUCGCCCUGUCCCUGACUGACAUGGCCUUCAUCCACUCGCGUCCCCUCGGCCCGCCCAAGGGGAACGGGGAGAACACACCCCUCCUCUUCUCCCCUCCCUCCUCCCCGCCUCGCGGACGGCUCUCACCUGUGCACCGCACGGCUGCUAUCGGCGCGGCGGCGGCUGACGUAGCUCUCCCCUCCGGCCUCGGUAGCCGCUCAGGGUGAACCUGACCCUCUUUCUCGUCCUGCUCCUCCGGGUGAGCCUCCCUGGAGGCUGAAGGGAGGGAAAGAGCUCGGGCACACGGCCGGCUGCUGGGCACUGUUCCGAGGAAACAGCGCGGCCGCAUUUUGGCGAGUCCCCCCUGGAGGUGUGACAGCUGCCCUUCUCCAGCUGACAUGUACUGUUCAUCCCUUUACUCUUCCCCAGCACCUGUGUGGCCCUGGGGUGUCACCAGGAUGCCCACACCUGGGGCCCAGAGGCAAAACCAGCUGCAUGCAGAGGGACUCUUGAGAGAUUUUAGCUCCCCGUAUCUGAAAAACAACCUGCCAACGUGUUUUUAGAUGAGUUGUUAGUAGGCUCGGUUUCGCUUAUUGAAGGGACUGGAUGAUAUCUACAGAAUUAAAAGCUUUUCUUGGUUUUGCGCUAACCACAUUGCCUUGGGGAUAUCCUGGUCUUGGGAUUCACCACAAAGGCUUUUUCAGCGACUUUUAUUGUCUUUGUGAUUGAAGAGGGCUAAGAAAGAUAAGUGAAGCUGCCCUACAGCAAUUAAAAGUCAGAUAGCAUGUAAAUUUCUUUUAAAAUAUGUUGUGGGUAUAUCUGAAUGUUAGGGUACAACUAUUUGUAAAUUCUGUGUCAUUUUCCCCAGAAAGAUAAAUGACAAUUCUCAUUAUAACCAGCAACAGGAUUUCAUCUGUGCCUUCUGAGGUUUGCUAUGCUGGCCAAUGCCAGGAAAAGGAUAUUGAAGGAAAUGAACAAGCGAGGCAAUCCCAAAGAAAUCCUGUAUUCCAAAUAGAAGCUGCUGUAUUUAGUAAAAAAUUCAUGUUAAAUAAAAGGUUACUAUUAAAUUAAAA
This is a long non-coding RNA of Colius striatus (speckled mousebird), 2223 nucleotides long. RefSeq lists it as uncharacterized. The transcript is spliced from 2 exons. NCBI's taxonomy places the organism in Eukaryota, Metazoa, Chordata, Aves, Coliiformes, Coliidae. The record is from RefSeq and is a predicted model, not a curated record.